AGAGUUUGAUCAUGGCUCAGAGUGAACGCUGGCGGCGUGCUUAACACAUGCAAGUCGAACGAGAACGGUCCUUCGGGAUGUCAGCUAAGUGGCGGACGGGUGAGUAAUGUAUAGUUAAUCUGCCCUUUAGAGAGGAAUAACUACUGGAAACGGUAGCUAAUACCUCAUACUCCUUUUACCUUAAUGGUAAUUGGGAAAUGUUUUUUCGCUAAAGGAUGAGACUAUAUGGUAUCAGGUAGUUGGUGGGGUAAGAGCCUACCAAGCCAAUGACGCCUAGCUGGUCUGAGAGGAUGAUCAGCCACACUGGAACUGAGACACGGUCCAGACUCCUACGGGAGGCAGCAGUGGGGAAUAUUGCACAAUGGACGAAAGUCUGAUGCAGCAACGCCGCGUGGAGGAUGACACAUUUCGGUGCGUAAACUCCUUUUAUAUGAGAAGAUAAUGACGGUAUCAUAUGAAUAAGCACCGGCUAACUCCGUGCCAGCAGCCGCGGUAAUACGGGGGGUGCAAGCGUUACUCGGAAUCACUGGGCGUAAAGAGCAUGUAGGCGGGUAAUUAAGUUGGAAGUGAAAUCCUAUGGCUCAACCAUAGAACUGCUUCCAAAACUGAUUACCUAGAGUAUGGGAGAGGUAGAUGGAAUUUCUGGUGUAGGGGUAAAAUCCGUAGAGAUCAGAAGGAAUACCGAUUGCGAAGGCGAUCUACUGGAACAUUACUGACGCUAAGAUGCGAAAGCGUGGGGAGCAAACAGGAUUAGAUACCCUGGUAGUCCACGCCCUAAACGAUGUACACUAGUUGUUGCUAUGCUAGACAUAGCAGUAAUGCAGUUAACACAUUAAGUGUACCGCCUGGGGGAGUACGGUCGCAAGAUUAAAACUCAAAGGAAUAGACGGGGACCCGCACAAGCGGUGGAGCAUGUGGUUUAAUUCGACGAUACGCGAAGAACCUUACCUGGCCUUGACAUAACAGGAAUUCUUUAGAGAUAGAGAAGUGCUAGCUUGCUAGAACCUGUAUACAGGUGCUGCACGGCUGUCGUCAGCUCGUGUCGUGAGAUGUUGGGUUAAGUCCCGCAACGAGCGCAACCCACGUGUCUAGUUACUAACAGUUCGGCUGAGGACUCUAGACAGACUGCCUUCGUAAGGAGGAGGAAGGUGUGGACGACGUCAAGUCAUCAUGGCCCUUACGGCCAGGGCUACACACGUGCUACAAUGGGGUAUACAGAGAGCCGCAAUACCGCGAGGUGGAGCAAAUCUUCAAAAUAUCUCCCAGUUCGGAUAGUAGUCUGCAACUCGACUACUUGAAGUUGGAAUCGCUAGUAAUCGUAGAUCAGCAAUGCUACGGUGAAUACGUUCCCGGGUCUUGUACUCACCGCCCGUCACACCAUGGGAGUUGAAUUCAUUCGAAGCGGGGAUGCUAAAAUAGCUACCUUCCACAGUGGAUUUAGUAACUAGGGUGAAGUCGUAACAAGGUA
RNAcentral lists this ribosomal RNA (1468 nucleotides) under uncultured bacterium. RNAcentral describes it as "bacterial SSU rRNA". It matches the Rfam family "Bacterial small subunit ribosomal RNA". The record is from RNAcentral.